Molecule: unclassified non-coding RNA, 378 nt
Filed under: uncultured bacterium
Lineage: Bacteria
Description: contains 16S-23S intergenic spacer region
Source: RNAcentral
UCCGGUUUGUCACCGGCAGUCCCCCUAGAGUCCCCGGCAUGACCCGCUGGUAACUAAGGGCAAGGGUUGCGCUCGUUGCGGGACUUAACCCAACAUCUCACGACACGAGCUGACGACAGCCAUGCAGCACCUGUGACCGUGCCCCGAAAGGAGACCGACUUUCGUCGGCUGUCACGGCCAUGUCAAACCUGGGUAAGGUUCUUCGCGUUGCAUCGAAUUAAACCACAUGCUCCACCGCUUGUGCGGGCCCCCGUCAAUUCCUUUGAGUUUCAUCCUUGCGGACGUACUCCCCAGGCGGAGCACUUAUCGCGUUGGCUUCGGCACAGGAGACAUGUUUGUCCCCUACACCCAGUGCUCAUCGUUUACGGCGUGGACUAC